GGAGAUCAGAGCUAUAAUGGCUCAGUACAUGCCGCUUGAUAGUCAAGGAGAAGUUCAGAGCCACGCCCACGAAGAGAACCACUUGUGAAGCUGUUUAGCUUAAUUUUGGCGGUGUAUUCUCAACACAGUUAACACUAGAGGUGUCCUAGCUAAGAAGAGCCAGAAAUGAUCGAGCGGACUAUAAAAGACUAGGAGACGAUCAUAGAUAAGUAUCGAUAGGGGUUUUAGGAGUGACGGAUAUUUAUUGUACGCAGAGUUGAGUGAGGGUUAUAAGAUGUUAAUCCUGUUAGCAACAGUAGAGCAAGUUACCCUGUAUGGCGUUGUCUCUCCUAUGAUCUCCAAGCUCUUACUAGUGUUGAUUGCUUGUGUAGUUCUGCAUGCUUGAUAGAUUAAUG
RNAcentral lists this unclassified non-coding RNA (395 nucleotides) under Hevea brasiliensis (rubber tree). Lineage: Eukaryota; Viridiplantae; Streptophyta; Magnoliopsida; Malpighiales; Euphorbiaceae. The record is from RNAcentral.